UUCUGAGUCCAAGAAUAGAAAUGAAGUGAAAAGAGGGUUGUAAAGGUGUGUAAUAUUGUCAUAAGAGACUUCAGAGAGGAUUCGUGAGUAUAUGUAACCUGGAUGCGGUGAAGUGUGAUACGAUAUAGCGAACACGGUUUUGCCGGUUGCAAGAUGGCCGUCAUGGUGGGAGGAGCCUCCUGCUGAGUAAAGAAUCGAUCCCAGGACCUUGUGGACUUGCGCUCUUAACUUGAUACAUAUAUAAAUAUAUACCUUGAGGACCAAGAGGACGAAGGGCGAGGCAGUAGCAUCAAGAUCCGCGGUUUCGUGGGACUUGAUUAAAAAUCAGACUGUUAGUUGAUGAAAUGUUGAGAGUUGAGUCAAAGAGGGGAUGGUACUUGUAGUCAUGAAAAGUGUCAGAUGAGAAGCUAAACAUGAACGAUGACAUACAGGGGUGAGAUGUAUAUCCGUGUGCAGGCGACCGUCAAAACCUAAUUAUCCGGCAUGGAUUUUUAUGGGAAUUAUGUCCAUUGCGAUGACUCUCAUCUCUCAUAAGUCAAGUUUUAGAUUUUUUUUCCACAUUUUGUCCAGCGAAAUCGAAAAAUACCAUCGGAUAAAAUUAAAAAUGAGCAAAAUUGGACAUUUGGAAUUUUGAUAAAAAUAAAUUUAAAACAAAAAAGUGAAAGCUCAUGUCUAUGAAAUGUUUCACUUUUAUUUUCGAGUAUUUAUUGGCUCCAAAAAUUUAUGAUCCUGAA
Microplitis mediator is the source of this 734-nucleotide long non-coding RNA. RefSeq lists it as uncharacterized. The record is from RefSeq and is a predicted model, not a curated record. The transcript is spliced from 3 exons. Lineage: Eukaryota; Metazoa; Arthropoda; Insecta; Hymenoptera; Braconidae.